AGUCCUGAAGACCUAACUCU
RNAcentral lists this small nuclear RNA (20 nucleotides) under Arabidopsis thaliana (thale cress). Its description in RNAcentral is "snRNA_02841". The record is from RNAcentral. Lineage: Eukaryota; Viridiplantae; Streptophyta; Magnoliopsida; Brassicales; Brassicaceae.